This 467-nucleotide ribosomal RNA is filed under the name uncultured bacterium. RNAcentral describes it as "partial 16S ribosomal RNA". It matches the Rfam family "Bacterial small subunit ribosomal RNA", at positions 28 to 506 of the family's 1533-position model. The record is from RNAcentral.
GACGAACGCUGGCGGCGUGCUUAACACAUGCAAGUCGAACGGAAAGGCCCUGCUUUUGUGGGGUGCUCGAGUGUCGAACGGGUGAGUAACACGUGAGUAACCUGCCCUUGACUUUGGGAUAACUUCAGGAAACUGGGGCUAAUACCGGAUAGGAGCUCCUGCUGCAUGGUGGGGGUUGGAAAGUUUCGGCGGUUGGGGAUGGACUCGCGGCUUAUCAGCUUGUUGGUGGGGUAGUGGCUUACCAAGGCUUUGACGGGUAGCCGGCCUGAGAGGGUGACCGGCCACAUUGGGACUGAGAUACGGCCCAGACGCCUACGGGAGGCAGCAGUGGGGAAUAUUGCACAAUGGGCGGAAGCCUGAGGCAGCAACGCCGCGUGCGGGAUGACGGCCUUCGGGUUGUAAACCGCUUUCGCCUGUGACGAAGCGUGAGUGACGGUAAUGGGUAAAGAAGCACCGGCUAACUACGU